Molecule: microRNA precursor, 168 nt
Filed under: Pelobates cultripes (western spadefoot toad)
Lineage: Eukaryota; Metazoa; Chordata; Amphibia; Anura; Pelobatidae
Source: RNAcentral
GCAGACACAUUCCAGCCAAUCAGCAGCAGACCCUCCCUCCCAGACCCUCCCACCUCCUGGACAUCUCACUAAGAAUGCAGCUUCACAAUGAAUGUAAAAUGGAUGCUGUCCAGGAGGUGGGAGGGUCUGGGAGGGAGGGUCUGCUGCUGAUUGGCUGGAAUGUGUCUG